AGGGGUAGGUCAAAGAGAGGAAUGUCCUGUGCUUUCAUCGUGAGUAGUGUUCCAUGGAGGUCGAGAAGGGAAAUGUUAAUAGGAACAGCUGCUAAUAAUGGUUGGGAGAGAGAAGCACAGAAAAGGUAUUGGGAGGAAUUGGGGUGGGUUGUUAAGGGAAGAAGGUCAGCUGCAAAUUGGAUGUACUAUAGCCAGGAGAGGGUAGCUCGCAGCACCUUCAGAGACUGAUUUUCCUGUUGCAUAAUAUUAGCAUGGGUAAAGGCUGAUUUGGAGGCAGGACCAAGCUCAUGGGAGAUGUGCAGGUCAGCAACUGGAUGUUUGGCAUAGCCAUUGGGUUAAAGUUUACCCAUGACUCCCGUCUGCCAACGUUCAUCCCAUGGAUCGCUGAUGGAAAGAUGAAAAUGAAUUUUAAGGUUGGUGAGCUUGGUGCUACCAUGACCGGUGGAUUCCAUUCUGCAGCUCCAGUAUCUGCAACCUCCAUAUGUAGAGACCUCCUGGAGACUUUCACCCGUGUUUUGGGGAAAAUACUUGAAAACAUUGGUCUUAUGAAAUAUGAAGAAUUUUUGUCCUUAUUUGUGAGAAUGCAGCUGACAAAACCAGUUUCAGAUGAAAACAUCACAGUGAUUGACACAGACUUCAGUGACAUCCCUGUUCGCCUGUAUUUACCCAAAAGGAAAUCUGAAAGGCAGAGACCAGCUGUCAUUUAUAUUCAUGGUGGUGCCUUUACCCUAGGAAGCUGCAGUAAGUUUGUUUUUUUGACAUAAGAAUUAAUUACAUUGCAUCUAGCUAUUCUGAAGUGAGCUUUUGCUUCUCGUGGCCUUACCACAGUUUUUACUGCAAUGAGUUCCUUCUUCCCUUGAGCACUUAAUAGCAGUCAUUAUGUUUGUGUUUAUAUAAUGAAGACCAUUUAACGCUCCAAGUGAAUUGGUUUCCAUUUAUGUGUAGAAGGAAUUUUGACGUAGCUUUCUGCUCAGGUGUUAACCACAAAUUUUAGCCUUCUUUUUAUCUUCUUCCUUGUGAGUAUGUAACAGAGAAGAGCACACCAAUUGGUUAUCCAAUAUCAAAUUGUUAGUAACAUUAUACAGAUUAAGCAGGUUAUAUUUAGAACUAUAUGUAGGUAUAUACAUACAAAAAUAUGCAUGUAACAACAAUUAAAAUGAUCAUGAAUUUGAAAGAGAGAAAAGAGAGGUAUUUGGGAGACUUCAGAAGGAGAAAAGUAAAAGAGAAAUUAUGUAAUUGCAUUAUAAUAUCAAAUAUUUUUAAAAAGUUAAAAUGUACAAAAUUAGAAAUAAGAAAGUCUUAAAACAGUAAUUAUGGCAAAAAUCUGAAUUUACGAAAAUAAAAAUUCUGGUUAAGCUCAACUUUUUCUAACCACAGUUGUAGGAAAUAUACUAUCAAGGAGUUACAGAGUCAAGGCAUAACUUUUUUCUCUCUUGAGAAAUAAAGUAUUCAACCAAAGACCAUGGAAAACAAUGUACCUAUUGGUAAUCAAGCAUUUUUACUAUGCACAUAGUUCCUGCUAAUGGGUCAUCAUGAGUGCAAUAUUGCCUGAUAUAGUUUCUAUCAGUUUUGCUUAAUCAAAAGGCUUCUCCACACAAAACUGACUCAGAGAGAAGCAGAGUGUAAUGCAUGGGGACCUAUCUACACCAAUGUCAUCUCUUCAAUGGAGCAAUACCUUGAAAGUGGAGAAAUUGUUCUGUUUAUCCCAAAGUAGGCUAGCAAAUACAACAAGGUUCUCCCAUUGUGACCAACCAGAUUUUGCCUAACUAUAGUGACUACAAAAAAUAUAUGGGUGUUACAUGAUUAAUUCUUAGAGUUAUCAUCAGUUCAUCACAGUUCACAUUUUUGUAGCCAUUCUUAGUGUUUCCACUGCUGGAUAAUCCACCAAGCACAGUUGUGUUUUUAUCUUUCUCAUUUCAGAGAUGCUUCCCUAUGACUACCUGAACCGAUGGACAGCAAACAAGCUUGAUGCUGUUGUUGUGGGAAUAGAGUAAGAAAACGUAAUUUUCAUGCUAUGGUCAUAGUCUUCCCAGAAUAGGCUUAGUUUAGAAAACAAGUCAACUAAACCUCC
RNAcentral lists this long non-coding RNA (2071 nucleotides) under Mus musculus (house mouse). Its description in RNAcentral is "novel transcript". The record is from RNAcentral. Lineage: Eukaryota; Metazoa; Chordata; Mammalia; Rodentia; Muridae.